UCUCCGUAGGUGAACCUGCGGAGGGAUCAUUACAGAGUUCAUGCCCUACCGGGUAGAUCUCCCACCCUAUGUUAUUAUUACUUUGUUGCUUUGGCGGGCCGUUAGGCUCCGGCCCGACUACCGGCCCCGGCUGGUAAGCGCCCGCCAGAGUACCCAAAAGCCUGAAUAUUAGUGUCGUCUGAGUACUAUAUAAUAGUUAAAACUUUCAACAACGGAUCUCUUGGUUCUG
This 229-nucleotide unclassified non-coding RNA is filed under the name plant metagenome. Its description in RNAcentral is "partial contains small subunit ribosomal RNA, internal transcribed spacer 1, and 5.8S ribosomal RNA". The record is from RNAcentral.